CAGUCGCCGCGGUAAAACGUAGGGUGCAAGCGUUAAUCGGAAUUACUGGGCGUAAAGCGUGCGCAGGCGGUUAUAUAAGACAGAUGUGAAAUCCCCGGGCUCAACCUGGGAACUGCAUUUGUGACUGUAUAGCUAGAGUACGGCAGAGGGGGAUGGAAUUCCGCGUGUAGCAGUGAAAUGCGUAGAUAUGCGGAGGAACACCGAUGGCGAAGGCAAUCCCCUGGGCCUGUACUGACGCUCAUGCACGAAAGCGUGGGGAGCAAACAGGAUUAGAUACCCCAGUAGUCCCUGUCUCUUAUAA
This 301-nucleotide ribosomal RNA is filed under the name uncultured bacterium. RNAcentral's name for it is "partial 16S ribosomal RNA". It matches the Rfam family "Bacterial small subunit ribosomal RNA", at positions 509 to 809 of the family's 1533-position model. The record is from RNAcentral.